GCCGCCCUAGCUCAGUUAGGCAGAGCGAUUCACUCGUAAUGAAUAGGUCAGGGGUUCGACUCCCCUGGGCGGCU
Molecule: transfer RNA, 74 nt
Filed under: Tropheryma whipplei
Lineage: Bacteria; Bacillati; Actinomycetota; Actinomycetes; Micrococcales; Tropherymataceae
Also listed under: 2 other names
Description: tRNA-Thr
Rfam family: tRNA
About the family: Transfer RNA (tRNA) molecules are approximately 80 nucleotides in length. Their secondary structure includes four short double-helical elements and three loops (D, anti-codon, and T loops). Further hydrogen bonds mediate the characteristic L-shaped molecular structure. tRNAs have two regions of fundamental functional importance: the anti-codon, which is responsible for specific mRNA codon recognition, and the 3' end, to which the tRNAs corresponding amino acid is attached (by aminoacyl-tRNA synthetases). tRNAs cope with the degeneracy of the genetic code in two manners: having more than one tRNA (with a specific anti-codon) for a particular amino acid; and 'wobble' base-pairing, i.e. permitting non-standard base-pairing at the 3rd anti-codon position.
Source: RNAcentral